GCCUACGGGAGGCAGCAGUAGGGAAUCUUCCACAAUGGACGAAAGUCUGAUGGAGCAACGCCGCGUGAGUGAAGAAGGGUUUCGGCUCGUAAAGCUCUGUUGGUAGUGAAGAAAGAUAGAGGUAGUAACCGGCCUUUAUUUGACGGUAAUUACUUAGAAAGUCACGGCCAACUACGUGCCAGCAGCCACGGUAAUACGUAGGUGGCAAGCGUUGUCUAGAUUUAUUGGGCGGAAAGCGAGCGCAGGCGGUACAAAAAG
This 258-nucleotide ribosomal RNA is filed under the name uncultured bacterium. RNAcentral's name for it is "partial 16S ribosomal RNA". It matches the Rfam family "Bacterial small subunit ribosomal RNA", at positions 337 to 587 of the family's 1533-position model. The record is from RNAcentral.